Long non-coding RNA from Triticum dicoccoides, 2348 nucleotides. RefSeq lists it as uncharacterized. The record is from RefSeq and is a predicted model, not a curated record. The transcript has 2 exons. NCBI's taxonomy places the organism in Eukaryota, Viridiplantae, Streptophyta, Magnoliopsida, Poales, Poaceae.
UAUCCCCUUCUUUCACGGUCCCUCUGCCUUCAUCUCUCCGCAUCUUUAUCAUCUCACGUCGCCGGCUGCCUCACGGCGCAACACGCUUUCCCUCCGCCUUCACUUCCUUCAACGGCCCCUGUGUGCCUUGCCGCGGGAUCCUGAGCGCGCAGCCACGACCUGCCCUGAGAAGUCGCUGGCCAUGCCACCUCGCCAUCACCAUGUGGAAUUUGGGAGGAGACCAGGGCUCCAAAAGUUGGGAAAUCAGAUUCGUUGGCUUUUUUCCAUCCUAUUUCCUUCCAGCAAGUCUACCGAAGUACUGAUUGGUGUCUUUGCUCAUUCAUUUGGUAAUAAUUCGUACUAAACAUCAGAUUAGUGGCCACGGCUCGACUUGCAACAGAUGCAUCCAACAGCGGCGCCCAUGAAGAACAACCCAGCAGGGGCGAGGCAUAGGACGAAGCAGUGGGCGAACAAGUGGCUCUACGAGGCGAGGCCAGGUGGAGGAUAGACACGACACAAGUUCCUUCCAUAUAGGUAGUGGUUUCUUCUCGACUGCCUCGGGCUCGAGCUGCCGCGACUAUGACGCCAUACACAGUAUCGCUGCAGCUGCCUCCAUCAAGUCCAGGUACUAAAAUUGACUGAUUGGAGCAUGCGCACAUAUUCAUUGUUCCAUCUCUUAACAAGAAGCAAGCUGUUCCCAUUCAAUUUAGUUUCUAUGUGCCCUCCAGUGUCACCAUCUGUACGUAGCCUCUCACAAUCUAUUCUUGUUGAAGACCUUGAUGCAUACACAAGGAGUCAAGGAUUGUAAAUUCUUUUGUAUGGAGGUCACUUUAUUCUUUCGUGCUUUUGGGGGACUGAUUAUAAAUAUUGCAUGCUAGCUGGUAAAUAAAACAACUCACCAAUUUUAAAGUGAUGUGCCACUUGGUGCAGGCUAACUCUGAAAAUAUUUCUAAUUUUUAUUUUCUAACUGAAACUUACUGCUUUCCACACAACGCUCCAAUCUGAAGGUAUGAGCAUACUUAUAUUUCUGAGUUGAGUCAUAUAUAUGUUUUACUGCAAACCAUGCUAUCUCACUUCCUUUUUUGUUGAAAUUCCACAAUACUUAUUCUACACUUCCCUUUGUGCAAUUGUUCCAUGUAGAUUUUGGUAAAGAGAUAUAUUAUGGAUGCAUAAAUUCAUCAUUCUGGAGUUUAUUUCAUUGGUUGAUGUCAGAUCACUAAAACUGAAUAACAUUCUAGAAAUUACAAACCUUUUUACAGGACAAAAUUUAUGAACACUAUAGUGUCUUCAGAUAAGGAUUUAAGUUUCCCGAUCAUUAGCGUGUUACAUUUGCCCAUUUUAUUUGCUGACUAAAGAGUGCCCCACGUCACAAGCUUACUCGAAAUAUCAGAAAGAUACCAGUGUGUAAGGACUAUCUAGAUACACACGAGAGAUCCCAAAGAAAUCAAUGAAGGUCUAUUGAUUGAUCUAAUUUUCCCUAAUAGAUUGUGUUUACGGAAAAUUAUCAACUCUGAACCAUUAGAGAAGGCAAUGCUAUUAUCAACUCAAUGCAACUCAUGUGCUUCGUUUUCCUUUUUAGGAUCACAUUUGCCAAGGUCUUAUUAUCGUGUAUUGCUGAAGAUGUCCAAUGAAAUUACUUUGUAGAAGUGUAGAAGUUUGCUUAAAGGAAUGCCAUCCGUAAUCUUCUUUGUUGUUCAUCAUAUCUUAUAUUAAUUAAUGCUAAUUCAAGAUGAAUGGUUCUUCUUUGGAUAACAGAAGUAUCUUGAUAUUUACCUAUCGCUUUUGUCUUCAUUUUUCAGUUUCCUUUCGGCGAUAUUUAUGUGUUAAUAUUCGGCAUUACUUCAACAUGUAUGCAUAUCGCUGCUGACUCUCCUCAAUGCUGUCUACUAUGAGGAAAAUAUAGGAAGGUGAACAUAUCUUUACUGCCACACCUAUAUACAUGAUAUCCAAUUAUAUUUCUUAUAUCCCUAUUUCUCUAACCGAUGCCAUUUUCGUUAAAUGCAAUGCACUAAUAAGUUGAUUAGUUUGUUAAUGUUUCUGUAGAGUUGUGUUAUGUAAUCCACAAUAUUAGUCUCAAGAGGGGCUUCCAGAUAAAACAUGUAACAACAUAGAAGUUUACAAGGUGAAGCCCUCAUGAUUCUAUGAGACGGAUGGCAUUUGCAUGACAUUUGCUUACCUCCUGCUGUGGGAUGGAUCAAAGUAGAUGUACACAUGUGUUCAAGACUCAGGCCUAUAGUUUUGUGAUGAUGUUAUAGUUGUAGCUUGAAAGAUUUCUUCCAUUGCAAAAGCUGAGAUGUUAGCCUAUAUUGGAGCUUUAAAACAGUUGGUUCCACGUGCAAAUGACCAUAUAUAUAAACCUCUAUUUUGAU